RNAcentral lists this ribosomal RNA (113 nucleotides) under uncultured bacterium. RNAcentral's name for it is "partial 16S ribosomal RNA". It matches the Rfam family "Bacterial small subunit ribosomal RNA", at positions 1389 to 1500 of the family's 1533-position model. The record is from RNAcentral.
ACCGCCCGUCAAGUCAUGAAAGUGGGCAGCACCCGAAGACGGUGGCCUAACCCUUGUGGGGGGAGCCGUCUAAGGUGAGGCUCGUGAUUGGGACUAAGUCGUAACAAGGUACC